GACCAGUUAGCCUAUCAUGAUGAAUUCAUCAGGAAUUAACCAAGAUAGUUUCCAGGGAGAACCGCGAGGAGGUCGACCUGGUUGGGUAUAUUGCUAGCAAUGGGAUUCUCAGUCUCCAUUACUAACAAUCCCUUUCUCCCCUGUGUAGUUUGGUUAGAUAUUCCUGACCAAGUCAUUUUACGUGGCUUAUAUUAAGUGCUGUCUCUUUUUCCUUGGUUAUACACUCAUCGCUUUAAUCCAAAUAGUAUAUAAACAAGGGAAUUCUUUUUUUAGAUCACCAAAAUGAAACAGAAUUUUUCUUAUAUUUUUAAUAUAAGGAUUUGUUAUGAAUCUAUAAUUAAAUAUGAUUGAUGAGAUCUGUCAUUUGAAUAUGGAAACUGCUUUGGAUAUUUCAACCGCUGGGCUUGGGAUAAAUAUGCUAAAACAUGUAAACGCCGAUUGUAUUCUGGUUGCAGUGGUAACCAGAACAAUUUCGAGUCUCGCGCUGAGUGCCUGGCUACAUGUCUGAAUCCACCAAAUAAUACCAUGAACAGAUUCCAUCAAUAUACCUAUAUACCACCUGUGUACCCUUCAACAUAGUUGAACUCAAUUGAUUUAGAUGAUUUUAAGAAUUUAAUUACACUAAUUUCACCUGCGACUCUGUUUGCGUGACCAUCUUGGUCUAUCAAGAUUACUUUUAAGAUACACAUGGUCUGUGAUGAACAUAUCUAUUACAUUCAGAUAUAAAUCUGUGAAAGCUUUUGUAUAGCUGGAGAAUAUUAUAGUUAUUCCAUGUUGUCAUUUGAUAUUUCUGUAAAAAGUUCAUAUUAAAAUAUAUUUAACUAUAAUAAUGUAGUUUCACAGUAGAAGUCGAUAUUAUACAAUAUUUUCUAUAAAUCGCUAUCAUAUAUUUGUAAAUAAUGCAAUUGUCAUAUAUUAUCCAAGUUAUAUUGGCACGCCAUCUUUUUCAAUAUUCACUAAUAAUAACGAUACAAACUCAACCCGUCAAGGGAUGAUUAUUUUAUUGCUGAAACAAUUAUUUCUUAGUUAAACAUCAAAUGGCUGAACCUAAUAAAUUUCAAGUUCAAAAAUGAUGAACUCAUAUAAAAUUCAACUUUCACCUUUCUAGGAAGACAUUAAGGGACGGUUUUUAGAAAUCCCACAUGAUCGAGAGAUGUAAUUCGCACACGAAAUUACCUAAUAUGAACAUUUUGACAUUACAUCUUUAAUAUACAACUUAGAAUGGCAAACAAGCUGUCGUCCCACGUGAUGGAAAGUGGUAACCGUCGCCUAUAGUCAUGAGCAGUACCAUGGACAUAACAAAGUAUACUGUUUCGCCCAUGAUACCCCCCAUGCGUUGCCAUUCCUGAGGACUCAGGUGUUAUUCCUCUGUACCCUGUAAAUUCACCCUUCAAACCGAAACACAGCCAUGCAAACACAACUGCUUCACGGUUAAAAUACGAAUCGGACAGAGGUACCCAAUUGAAAUUAGUAGACCUUUUUUUUAUGACGCUUGGUAUGAUAAAUAAGUUGACGAUCCACUCUAUUGCAGCACGGCUCUAUUAUAUCGUUACAAUAUACUAUAAUAGUAAAGAAAUCCACAUGCAAUUCCUUUAUUUUGCUUUAUUUGUCCUUUUUAAUUUUCAUGUCCAUGGCAUGAGUAAUAUUCGACCGUAUGUCAUGUCGUAUGAAUACCAUUAUGCUUGAGGAUAAAAGGCGCUAUCUGUAAACGUUGGAUAGGUACCAAUAGUUGCUUAACCUAUCGUAAGGAAUUCAUCAGAUAUUAACUACGAUGGUUAGCAUGGAGGAUCGUGGAGGUAGGCAUAUGCCGUAAAUUAGGUAUAAUAGUACCUAUCAGAUCUUAACCCUUUGAGUGCCACGAGCGUCAUAGCGCUCGUGAAAUCAGUCGCUGUUUAGCUUGCUGUAAAAAAAUAUUAAAAUUAGAUAAUUUUUGGAGGUUUUUUUUUAGAGACAAGGGUAAAUGACAUCAACACGACAAAGAUUUCUUUGGCAUUUUUAAGUAGAUAUGAGUAAAAAUCAAUGGCACUAAAAGGGUUAAGGGAGCCUACUUUGGAGAAUAACACAUUUUAUACAAAAUUUCAUUGUGAAACAGAACAAAACCAUAAAUUGUAAUUGCUUACAUGAUUUACAGUUGUUUUAGAGCUGUAGAAAUUGCGGUUAUAAUUUUAUGUAGUACAUUUCAUGUAAUAGAAAUAUAAAAAGUAGGUACUGUGCUAUAUUAACACGAUGAAAGUACUUGGCCAACUAUUCUAUAUUUUUGUCGUAUUUUUCUUUAUGAUUUAUAUUGUAAAUGCUUGUACCAUAUGUGCUGCUCACAAUUCGCAAGGAGAACUGCAAGAAAGAUUUCUGAAAGUUGCAGUGCCCAAGAGAAAGUACAUUCAUCGCCUGAUAAAUAGCACAUCGCCAUAUUAAGAGAGAAAUAAAUUAAAAAUAGAAUUUUACCGAAAACAAAUAAAUUCACAUUAAGAUAUUAUUAUUUUAACCUGGUAGAAAUAAAUUACGAAGUAUGGCCCGUAUAAAUUAACCAGUAUAAAAAGUUACUUAUUAACUAGUAUAGGCAAAGUUAUGCAAAUAAUAUUAAAAUUAUUACAUGGCAGGCUCGUCGUGGUGUUCAGCAUCAAAAUAUGAUUCAUGACGAACGUGGAGUGAAGGUUUUGACAACAUUAGCACCCCAAAUUCAAAAGGUCGUAUCACAACUGAGUACCAGUAAACUAUUGAAAAACAAAGACAAUUAUGAAAAGUUGUUACGACAGUUGAAACAAAUGUUUCACACUACGUCUACUACAGUAUGCGCCCGAUGCAGACACAAUUAAAAUUAUUUAAAACGUAUACAAUUCGUUUUAAUAC
Long non-coding RNA from Galleria mellonella (greater wax moth), 2847 nucleotides. RefSeq lists it as uncharacterized. The record is from RefSeq and is a predicted model, not a curated record. NCBI's taxonomy places the organism in Eukaryota, Metazoa, Arthropoda, Insecta, Lepidoptera, Pyralidae. The transcript is spliced from 3 exons.